AGUGAACGCUGGCGGUAGGCCUAACACAUGCAAGUCGAACGGCAGCACAGUAAGAGCUUGCUCUUACGGGUGGCGAGUGGCGGACGGGUGAGGAAUACAUCGGAAUCUACUUUUUCGUGGGGGAUAGCGUAGGGAAACUUACGCUAAUACCGCAUACGACCUACGGGUGAAAGCAGGGGAUCUUCGGACCUUGCGCGAUUGAAUGAGCCGAUGUCGGAUUAGCUAGUUGGCGGGGUAAAGGCCCACCAAGGCGACGAUCCGUAGCUGGUCUGAGAGGAUGAUCAGCCACACUGGAACUGAGACACGGUCCAGACUCCUACGGGAGGCAGCAGUGGGGAAUAUUGGACAAUGGGCGCAAGCCUGAUCCAGCCAUGCCGCGUGUGUGAAGAAGGCCUUCGGGUUGUAAAGCCCUUUUGUUGGGAAAGAAAAGCAGCAGGUUAAUACCCCGCUGUUCUGACGGUACCCAAAGAAUAAGCACCGGCUAACUUCGUG
RNAcentral lists this ribosomal RNA (492 nucleotides) under uncultured bacterium. RNAcentral describes it as "partial 16S ribosomal RNA". It matches the Rfam family "Bacterial small subunit ribosomal RNA", at positions 29 to 507 of the family's 1533-position model. The record is from RNAcentral.